RNAcentral lists this ribosomal RNA (253 nucleotides) under uncultured bacterium. RNAcentral's name for it is "partial 16S ribosomal RNA". It matches the Rfam family "Bacterial small subunit ribosomal RNA", at positions 524 to 776 of the family's 1533-position model. The record is from RNAcentral.
UACGAAGGGGGCUAGCGUUGUUCGGAUUUACUGGGCGUAAAGCGCAUGUAGGCGGGUCGUUAAGUUGGGGGUGAAAUCCCGAGGCUCAACCUCUGAACUGCCUUCAAAACUGGCGGCCUGGAGCAAGAUAGAGGCAAGUGGAAUUGCGAGUGUAGAGGUGAAAUUCGUAGAUAUUCGCAAGAACACCAGUGGCGAAGGCGACUUGCUGGAUCUUUGCUGACGCUGAGAUGCGAAAGCGUGGGGAGCCAACAGG